This 1004-nucleotide ribosomal RNA is filed under the name Tenuibiotus voronkovi. RNAcentral describes it as "eukaryotic LSU rRNA". It matches the Rfam family "Eukaryotic large subunit ribosomal RNA", at positions 87 to 875 of the family's 3401-position model. The record is from RNAcentral. Lineage: Eukaryota; Metazoa; Tardigrada; Eutardigrada; Parachela; Macrobiotidae.
CUGCGAGUGAAGGGGACAGCCCAGCGCCGAAUCCUGCUGCUGGUAACGGUGGCAGGAACUGUGGCGUGAAGAAGGUGGUUACCGGUAUGGUUCGCUUGCGUAAGUCCUCCUGAGUGAGGCUCCAUCCCAUGGAGGGUGCAAGGCCCGUAUCGUGAGCAACUGAUGCCGGUGUACACUUUCGGAGAGUCGCCUUGUUUGCGAGUACAAGGUGAAGUCGGUGGUAAACUCCAUCGAAGGCUAAAUAUGACCACGAGUCCGAUAGCGAACAAGUACCGUGAGGGAAAAUUGAAAAGCACUUUGAAGAGAGAGCGAAACAGUGCGUGAAACCGCUCAGAGGCAAGCAGAUGGGGCCUCGAAGGCAUAGCAGUGAAUUCAGCUGGCGAGUGGGUGGCGAACCGGUGAUGAGAUCGCAAGACUCUAGCCGGUUAUGUGUUCUGCCUUGCUUGUCGGUGCACUUUCGCUGUUUGUACGCCACCGCCGUUGAGCGAGCAUCCGUCGGGUAUGCAUGUUGAAGCCUUACUCCUUUACGGGCGUAGGUGCUUACCGCUAACCUGUACGCGUUUGCGCCUCAACCGGUCAUGUCAACGGGUGCCAGCGUUUGCGUUGGAUCGGUGCGCUCUUCAGUGUAACGUGGGAUGACGAGCUUGCUCGGCUCCUCGUUGCGCAGUGGAAUCGUUUCCGGUUUUCAACGUGGGCACCUUGUAGAUUCGGUGGCGAGUAGAUGGCUGCCUAUCUAACCCGUCUUGAAACACGGACCAAGGAGUUCAACAUGCGCGCUAGUUGUUGGGACUUGAAGCCCGCUAGCAAAGUGAAAGCAAGACACAGUGUCACGCUGUGUAUUGGCGAGAUCCCGUAACCUGGCACGAAAGUUCCGGGCCGGGCGCNUCGCCGGCCCGUCAAAAGCUCACGUGGCUUUGGCGGAGCUUGAGCGUGCACGUUGAGACCCGAAAGAUGGUGAACUAUGCCUGGGNANGAUGAAGCCAGGGGAAACUCUGGNGGAGGUC